RNAcentral lists this transfer RNA (87 nucleotides) under Xanthobacteraceae bacterium. RNAcentral's name for it is "tRNA-Leu". It matches the Rfam family "tRNA". From Rfam's summary of the family: Transfer RNA (tRNA) molecules are approximately 80 nucleotides in length. Their secondary structure includes four short double-helical elements and three loops (D, anti-codon, and T loops). Further hydrogen bonds mediate the characteristic L-shaped molecular structure. tRNAs have two regions of fundamental functional importance: the anti-codon, which is responsible for specific mRNA codon recognition, and the 3' end, to which the tRNAs corresponding amino acid is attached (by aminoacyl-tRNA synthetases). tRNAs cope with the degeneracy of the genetic code in two manners: having more than one tRNA (with a specific anti-codon) for a particular amino acid; and 'wobble' base-pairing, i.e. permitting non-standard base-pairing at the 3rd anti-codon position. The record is from RNAcentral. Lineage: Bacteria; Pseudomonadati; Pseudomonadota; Alphaproteobacteria; Hyphomicrobiales; Xanthobacteraceae.
GCCCCCGUGGCGGAAUUGGUAGACGCGCCUGACUCAAAAUCAGGUUGUCGAAAGGCAGUGCCCGUUCGACUCGGGCCGGGGGCACCA